This 2888-nucleotide long non-coding RNA is filed under the name Marmota monax (woodchuck). Lineage: Eukaryota; Metazoa; Chordata; Mammalia; Rodentia; Sciuridae. The record is from RNAcentral.
UUUUGUAAAUAUAUGUAAAGUGCCUAGAAUAGUGUCAGAUACAAUGAAUAUAAUUCAAUGAUUAUUGAGUAAAAGAUAAACAGACAUAGCUACAGAGUUCCUUACUUAAUCUUCCUUUUAUUUUUUCUUUUCUACAGGUUAUGCCUAGGGUUCAACAACUACAAGGUAAAGGAAAGAAUAAAAUCUGCUUUACUUAGGCUACAAUAAUUUGCGAUGCUAUUCAAAGGGCAACUGAUCACUUUAACAAAUGUACCAGUAUUUUUGACUUUGCUCUUCAGAUAUUUUAUGUUGCAUUAGUUUAUCUGUAAUUUUGAAAGCCACUACUCCUUUACCUUUGGAAGUAUUGAUACUUCAUGCAUAUGUCUAAAUAACUGAGAUAAAAAAUAAGGAUAUUUAACAUUAAUUAUAGAUUGCCAAAUAUAGUUCUGAUUUUGAAAAGUAACUUUUUGGAAAUUCAUAUUUAUGCAAAUGAUUGAAAUGAGAGAGGAUGUAGUUGUACUUUGGCUUCUGUCUGUCACUACUUGUGACUCUAGACAAAUCAUUUUGCUUUUUCAGGACUUAGUUUUCCUGUACUUGGAGAGAGAGGGCAUUUUCUUCAUUUAACUACUGUAUAGGGGUGUAAUGAAGAGAAGUGACUACAAUGAAUGUUCCCCAAAGUACAAUUGGGAACUUUCUUAGUGACUGUGGGAUAAGCUGAAGGUUUAAACAGUGAAGUAAGGAAAAAAUAUAUUCUUCUCCUCUUGGAUAUCGCCCAGAGUCUCGGGGCCCUAGAUACUUAUCCAGUAAUCUUUUUGGAAGUAGGUCAGAUAGAAAAAUGAAAAUAAAAAAUAUUAACAUAUUUUGAGUGCACUGAUAAAAAUUAUGCUUGGUAUAUUCAUAAGCUUCAAUAAGCAUCAAAAUCUUUCAAAAUAUUAGAGUUUAUGGGAGAGUAUUUGUUUUGCUAUAGAAAUGACAUAUUCUGAAUGCUCAUUAAAGAAAGGCAUGAGUGUCUUUCUCUAUCAGCAGGACAAUGCAUCUUUAUCAUAAAGAAUUAUCAUACAAAUUUGCAAAUUAUUCUAAUCACUCCACCCUCAAUUUUUUCUUUCAUAUGUGGCAAUACAUUUUUCUUUACCUUACCAAUUUCUAAAAAUGAUUAGUGUUACUGUGUUUGAAUAUUCACUGAUUUUUAAAAUAGUUACUAGAAAGCAAUGAUUUAUAUUUCUUAGACAAAUAUCUAUGUGGUUAAUAGUCAAAUAUUGUAUCAUUACUAGAAUUUAUCAUAUUGAUUGAGGUGCAAGAUUCCCUCACAGGUGACCUAUUGCUAAGGUGUUUACUGAUUACUGCUCUUACCUGCUUUAAUAUUAGUGUAAAGCUUUUUUUUUUCUUUCUUUUUUAUUUAUUUAUUUAUUUCUUCAUGCAUGACAAUAGUGGAGUGCAUUACAUUCAUAAUUAUCCGUUCACAGAGCACUUUUUCAUAACUGUGUAUAUAGAGUAUGUUCAUGCCAAAUUAAUGUAAAGCUCUUUAAUGUACCUUUUUCAGAAUAAUCUUUGUUGCUCUGUCUUAUCCUUUUCACUACAUCCUCCAUUCCACCCCAGCACAGUCUGAUUCCUAUUUUAAUUGUUUGUUUUAUAAUGCUUCUUUCAUAAAAUUUCAGUGAUCAUAUUCUACAAAAUAAUAUUUUCAUAUUGUUGAAGCACUGUCUGAAAGUUUGGAUAAAUUUGGAUAGUUGAGGUGACAAAGAAUUCUGUUGAGUAUUGCAUUUUACUAUUUUUAAAAGGCAACAUACUGACUAAAGGAUAUAUUUUUACAAAAUCCAAUAGUAACAUGCAGCCAUGGCUAACACAACAUGACAGAUCUGAAUUGGAAUCUUUUCAUUUUUGUCUUUACCUCUUAAGGAGCUGAAUAAUAGAGGAAAACAUGGGUCAAGAUAAGGACUAAGUCCUCUGUAGAGAUUUAAGUUUUGGCUGUAAGAAUAUUUGGCCCUGUUUGAUCCUGUUUUAUGUGUAUUAAUUUUUUUGGCUUUCUAACAGUAGUCAAAUGCUUCCAGAGAGAUUUUCAAGAACACUCUUACUACGCAAGAUGCAGAUCUUUAGAGUUCUCAUCUUUAAGACAUUCUUCCACUUGUAACUGUCUUCAUAAACCUGAAAUGUAUGUACUAUUGAUAUAAAUUUCAAUAGCACAUCCGAAGUGGGUAAAAUUUGUCAGUUGAAUCUUAUCUGGAGGUACUUACUUGCUCAUUUAAUGAAUGUGAACUUUAGAUAUAUUUUGGGGUGAAGUCAAAGCAUAAUGAUUUUAGGUUGUAUGCACAGUAUGUAGUUUUGAAGGUAAAUUUUUAUAAGUGUGUUAUUAUUAUUAUUGUUUUCCCCCCCCAUUACUAUUUCUUAUCAUGGAUAGUACAUGUUAAGUUUAUUUUUCCGAAACUGUCAUUAACAUAAAAUUUUUAUGUUUUCAUAAGAUGCAGAAUACUUCUAGAAUAUACUUUGAAACAUUUUUAGAACAGAGUAAGAUUUAUAGGAAAAACGAGGAGACAGCACAGAGAAUCUCAAGAAUCUAGAGCAUGGUGUUAUUAGUAAUAUCUUCCAUUAGUAUGUAUGGUGCAUCUGUUACAAUUGAUGAAUAAUAUUGACGAAUUAUUAUUAAAGUCCAUAGAUUAUUCAGAUAUCUUUAGUUUUUAUGUGCUGUCCUUCCUGUGUUCCAGGAUCACAUCCGAUGGACCACAUUACAUUUGAUUGUCAUGUUUCCUAGUCUUCUUUUGCCUACACAGUUUCCCACACUUGCACUGCUUUUGAUGACCUUGAUGAUUUUCAGGGGUAUUGGCCAGCUAAUUUGUAAAUUGCUCCUUCACUUGAACUUGUCUCAUCAUUACACUGGGGUUAUAGAUUUUUAUGAGGAGCACCACAGUGAUAAA